This 343-nucleotide long non-coding RNA is filed under the name Bos taurus (domestic cattle). RNAcentral describes it as "long non-coding RNA NONBTAT006864". The record is from RNAcentral. Lineage: Eukaryota; Metazoa; Chordata; Mammalia; Artiodactyla; Bovidae.
CGCAGGUGAAGCCCAACUCCACACAGACCCCUGCUUACACAGUUCCCUUCAUGGUCACGUAAAGCAGUAAGGAAGUUUUUAAUUGACAUUGUCUACUGUUAAGAGGGCAGAGUGUGGACAUCUUUCGAGAGGGUUUACUUUCUCUGUGAAGUGUCAGGCUAUCAAUUCAUUGGAUGACGCAGUGGGUUUGCUCUGGGGAAGAGAGAAAGAUGUUAUUGUAGUGUAUCUUUUAGAAUCUCUGCACAUAAAAAAAUCCCCUCAGAAGCAACCAUCCUCAAAACCUAUGUCGCAAUCAAAACCAAAGCUUUAAACUGUUUUGAGAGAUAGAUAUGGUUAAAAUUAC